This 523-nucleotide ribosomal RNA is filed under the name uncultured bacterium. RNAcentral's name for it is "bacterial SSU rRNA". It matches the Rfam family "Bacterial small subunit ribosomal RNA", at positions 987 to 1509 of the family's 1533-position model. The record is from RNAcentral.
UCCUUGGAAUUCUGCAGAGAUGCGGAAGUGCCUUCGGGAAUCAAGUGACAGGUGCUGCAUGGCUGUCGUCAGCUCGUGUCGUGAGAUGUUGGGUUAAGUCCCGUAACGAGCGCAACCCUUGUCCUUUGUUGCCAGCACGUAAAGGUGGGAACUCAAAGGAGACUGCCGGUGACAAACCGGAGGAAGGUGGGGACGACGUCAAAUCAUCAUGGCCCUUACGGCCUGGGCUACACACGUGCUACAAUGGUCGGUACAGAGGGUUGCCAAGCCGCGAGGUGGAGCUAAUCCCAGAAAACCGGUCGUAGUCCGGAUCGCAGUCUGCAACUCGACUGCGUGAAGUCGGAAUCGCUAGUAAUCGCGAAUCAGAAUGUCGCGGUGAAUACGUUCCCGGGCCUUGUACACACCGCCCGUCACACCAUGGGAGUGGGUUGCAAAAGAAGUGGCUAGUCUAACCUUCGGGAGGGCGGUCACCACUUUGUGAUUCAUGACUGGGGUGAAGUCGUAACAAGGUAGGCGUAGUGCU